Molecule: ribosomal RNA, 162 nt
Filed under: Uncaria rhynchophylla
Lineage: Eukaryota; Viridiplantae; Streptophyta; Magnoliopsida; Gentianales; Rubiaceae
Also listed under: 5 other names
Description: 5.8S ribosomal RNA
Rfam family: 5.8S ribosomal RNA
About the family: 5.8S ribosomal RNA (5.8S rRNA) is a component of the large subunit of the eukaryotic ribosome. It is transcribed by RNA polymerase I as part of the 45S precursor that also contains 18S and 28S rRNA.
Source: RNAcentral
CCAAACGACUCUCGGCAACGGAUAUCUCGGCUCUCGCAUCGAUGAAGAACGUAGCGAAAUGCGAUACUUGGUGUGAAUUGCAGAAUCCCGUGAACCAUCGAGUCUUUGAACGCAAGUUGCGCCCGAAGCCAUCAGGCCUAGGGCACGUCUGCCUGGGCGUCA